Ictidomys tridecemlineatus (thirteen-lined ground squirrel) is the source of this 1353-nucleotide non-coding RNA. NCBI's taxonomy places the organism in Eukaryota, Metazoa, Chordata, Mammalia, Rodentia, Sciuridae. The record is from RefSeq and is a predicted model, not a curated record.
CACGUCCUCUUCUCCAGGUCGCCCCCCUCAAUCAGUCCCUCUUAAUCAGGUUGGGCCAGGACAGGGAUCACUUAGCCUGGUGGCUCUCCCACCCUGUCACAACCCCUCCCAGGACGGGCCAAUCUCCACCUCCAGGCGUAGAUUACCUGUCUUCGCAUCUUAUCCGUGCCAGCUCGGAUCAGACCUCUCUUCAGACAUAUUUAGGCCCCGCCCUCCAGCCUAAACAAACCCUGCCUUCACUUCAAGCCCCGCCCCCUGGGUCUCCUGUCCUACCUGGAGCUGAAAGAGACUUCUCAGCCUCUGAUCUUUCCCCCUUGCCCCUGACCCCUACAGGGCAUUGCAGUCGAAUCCAGAGGGUGGUCUUUCAAGUAGUGAGGGUCACAGGCUGAAAAAUAUGGAGCGCCGCCUGACUGACAUGGAGCAUACUCAGGCCCAGCUGAGGGAUGCUGUUCAGAACCUACAAUUUCUUCCAAAGAUACCAGAGUCACGGAGUCAGCCCCUGCCUCUCAAAGCACCUUGCGUCAAUGGAGAUACCACCUGAGCUGCCCAUUCUCUAUCCCAUGUGGUCUGGGAGCAGAGAGCCGACUUAGGAGGGUAUCUGACCCUGCCUUUGGCCCUAUGUGACCUACAGUGAGGAGUGGCACUGUAGGUGCCAACCAACCACUCUGGCACUAUGAGGUUGCCCAGUAAAAUCUUGAUUUCAGUAAAAUCAGUGGUUUGUUUGUCCCUAAGGUUUGCUAAUCACGGAGUAGCCCCUCACCCCCAUUCAAUUCUCCCAAAUUCUUUCCGAAUUUGAGGUCUCCUGGAAGGGAAAUGUAAGCAGAUUCUCACCAGCUAUGUGACCUUAGGCCAUCACUCUAGAAGCCUUUAUUUCAUUAUCUAUAAAAUGGAUCUGAAAUUUUCCUACACUGUGGCAGACCCCUAAAAGUAUUCAAAAAAAGGUAUUCAUCAUUGGUACAGGCAGUACCUGUUUCUCAAGGGAGCAUGGGUCCUACAAACUCAUUUAUCCCAUACCAUCCUCACCUAAUCCUCAGGCUCCAGAUAAGAGAAUUUUCCUAAACCCCAAAUCCCAAACCAGCUCCCUCAUGGCAUGGAUAGCGUAGUCUGAGAGGCAGAUGAAGGAAGGGUAAGAAAAUGUGAAGUUCUGUGGGUGAAUGGUGAGUAAAUUAGUAGGCCUUUAAAUCAUGGGUAAGGGGUAGAGUGGAACAUUAGGCAGGUGAAUAGGUUACUAUUUGUUGGAUGUUUGACCUAUAGAUGACUAGUUAGGUAGGCAGGUAACCAGGAUGGAUAUGUCUACUUAGAAAAGACCUGGCUCAUAGUAGGAAAUAAAUAUUUGAAUUAAUUAAGUGAUUA